AGAGUUGCGAUCCUGGCUCAGGACGANACGCUGGCGGCGUGCCUGAAUACAUGCAUAGUGCGAGCGUAAUCUGACGGGAGCUUGCUCCUCUGAAGAUUAGCGGCGGACGGGUGAGUAACACGUGGGUAACCUGCCUGUNAAGACUGGGCAUAACUCCGGUGAAACCGGGGCUAAUACCGGAUAACUUUUUUCUUCGCAUGAGGGAGAAUUGAAAGAUGGCCUCGGCUAUCACUUACAGAUGGACCCGCGGCGCAUUAGCUAGUUGGUGAGGUAACGGCUCACCACAGGCGACCGAUGCGUAGCCGACUUGAGAGGGUGAUCGGCCACACUGGGACUGAGACACGGCCCAGACUCCUACGGGAGGCAGCAGUAGGGUAAUCUUCCGCUAAUGGACGAAGAGUACUGACGGAGCGAACGCCGCGUGAGUGAUGAAGGUUUUCGGAUCGUAAAACUCUGUUGUUAGGGAAGAACAAGUAUCG
Molecule: ribosomal RNA, 479 nt
Filed under: Bacillaceae bacterium N-4-25-3
Lineage: Bacteria; Bacillati; Bacillota; Bacilli; Caryophanales; Bacillaceae
Description: bacterial SSU rRNA
Rfam family: Bacterial small subunit ribosomal RNA
Source: RNAcentral